Molecule: ribosomal RNA, 497 nt
Filed under: uncultured bacterium
Lineage: Bacteria
Description: partial 16S ribosomal RNA
Rfam family: Bacterial small subunit ribosomal RNA
Source: RNAcentral
GAUGAACGCUGGCGGCGUGCUUAAUACAUGCAAGUCGAGCGAACGGACGAGACGCUUGCUGCUCUGAUGUUAGCGGAGGACGGGUGAGUAACACGUGGAUAACCUCCCUAUCAGACUGGGAUAAUUUCGGGAAACCGGCGCUAAUACCGGAUAAUCUUUUGAACCACAUGGUGCAAAAGUAAAAGACGGUCUUGCGGUCACUUAUAGAUGGAUCCGCGCUGCAUUAGCUAGUUGGUAAGGUAAAGGGUUACCAAGGCAACUAGGCGUAGCCGACCUGUGAGGGUGGUAGGCCGCACUGGAACUGGGCCACGGUCCAGACGCCUACGGGACGCACCAGUAGGGAAUCUUCCGCAAUGGGCGAAAGCCUGACGGAGCAACGCCGCGUGAGUUAUGAAGGUCUCCGGAUCGUAAAACUGUGCUAUUAGUGAAGAACAUAUGUGUAAGUUGCUGUGCACAUCUUGACGGUACCUGGUCAGAAAGCCCCGGCUAACUACGUG